Molecule: long non-coding RNA, 403 nt
Filed under: Anser brachyrhynchus (Pink-footed goose)
Lineage: Eukaryota; Metazoa; Chordata; Aves; Anseriformes; Anatidae
Description: lncRNA (ENSABRG00000008214.1)
Source: RNAcentral
GUGACAAGAAGAGUUUCCAAAGGGACAGAGACAUCAGUCUAUAGAUCUGGAACAGUGGGUUUGAAGCACCCCAUGGUGAUUUGCUCAUCUCGCUAAGCUACACACCAGGAGAGCAGCUCUGGAGUUUCCUGUGCAUCAUGGGACCUGGCAGAAAGUGAAGCUGGAUAAGUUUUCUGUGACACAGACCUUGCAAGGUAUAAGCAGAAAUGCCACAGGAAGCCUAGCACAAUGUGAUUGUUACUUGACAAGACAGUGGGAUGAUGAAAAAGGAGCAAAGAUCUUAAGUCUUGAUUCUGGAAGGGAGGAGUGAAAGCAUGAAAAGUUCCAUGAGUGAAGGAGAAGGAAGGCUGUCCUAGUACAUUCUGCUUUGUUAUCCUUUCACACCAAUAACCCAGCUUCCAAA